AAUUCACCGCGGUCAACGCUGGCUGCCAUGAGUAGUUGUACAUUAUACUGUGAUCAAAAGGUGCGGAAGGAGAGAAGAAAGUAGCCUCUGCAUUGGCAGCCCGUACUGUAUCGUUGCUUUCGCGUUAAAAGUGACUCGGUGAUGGAGAACAGAAACGAGAAAGGGUAAAAAGCAAAAGAAAGAAAAAGCGAACGAAAGAAAGAACGAAAUGCCGAGGACGCGACUUCUCAACGAUGCUUCCGACUGAAGGAAUCCAGGCAUAAUGGAAUGUCAAGUUGCAUGCAAAGAGAAAGAAAUAAAAGUAAACCAUCGACGCGACGAGCAAGAGAAGAGACAUUGUACUUCUCGUUUUAUUUCCUGUCGUCCUGUCGUUACUUUCAUCUGGUUCUCCGUGUUCCAUUUGGGAAACGUUCCGUAGAAAAGUGAAAACAACGACCGGAUGGAAAUAUAGCGAAGAAAGGGAGAGAGAGAUACAUUGGCUCCUUGUUAUUUAGCAAAAGAGAGGAGUCGUUUCGGAAUGUAAAGGAGUAUGCAGCGUGCAUACGCGCGACUGUGAACGGACGAUCGUUCGUGUGUUUAUCAGCGACGACAGAGAAGAAUAAGUAUGAGAUCGGAGUUUAUCGCGCGGUUCGAGGGAAACGACCUGGAAUACCGAUUGCGAUAAUAUUUUACUGCACAACCUCUCUUGCUUUUGUAUAUUAUUAAACUGGAACGACGAAGAGAGAUAAAUGAUAAACGAAAUAUGAAUUUCAAAUUACGUGAAAAAUACUAGUCGAAUAAAAUUUGGAGCUCCAAUAAUAGUUAAACCUGGGAAAGCUCUCUAACUAUAAGAACAAUUCACAGUUGUUCCUAACCAGUAGCUUCAGCCUCCUUGGAUUUUCUGUAUUCAUUGUCUUCAACGUGGGACAACAACAGAGAUAAAUAAUAAAGGAAAUAUGAAUUUUAAAUUACAUCAAAAAUGUGUUCAAGUGAAAUAAAGCUUGAAGCUCUAAAACCCUUUAAUCCUUUGCACUCACUGGAAACGACAAUGCACACUGGGAUAUAAAAUAAAUCUAGUGCAAAGGGUUAAAUACAACUGUGUAACAUAAAACUGUUAAAACAGGAGAAGCUGUCUAACUACGUGGACUACUGUCGUUUGUCCCUGGCUAGUAGCUUCCGUUCCAGCAACUUUCUACUAAAUUUGAUUUGUUAAUUUAACGAGAGUCCAGACUGACUGACUGACUACUGAAACGCCGAGCGUUGACUGUUCCACGAGCAAACAGUGUUUAACUGGGAAAAGCAAUUACUCGAGAGGAUCGUGGACCCAGUUCUGUCCAAACCGAAUCUCAAAACCGUUUGGCUCAACCAGAUUUGCAUCGCGGCACUAUUAUGCUCCCGUAAUUGCUAAUGCGAUUAAACUCGCGCAAUAUCAUGAAUAUUCCAUCGGGCUAUUCAACGCCGGUACGUCUAAACCGAGAAAAGUGAACGCCGCCCGAGUGUUUCCCACCGUUGAAAGACUGUUUACCGAUUACUUAAACAGGAAAUCGGCGGGCCGAGGGAGCUGCCACGGCGAACAUUUCUAAUUAACUGUUUUGAUGGACAUCUAAUUGGCAGCCGGCGUUGCUGCACGUAAAUAGAAAAUGACAGCGCAGGCCUAACCCAUAAUCGGCCAAUAAGGCCGUUCAGUGGUUCGAGCUGCUGGAAUUUUAAAAUGUCGAACACACCUUUCCGGAUGUCGAUAAGUAUUAUUCUUAGCCGGCGGUCACAAUGAACAAUACCUAAUCCUGAGAACCUCUUAUAUUUCAGUACCAGUUCUUUCGCCAAAUAGCGUUAUUCAUAAAACUAGCACGAUAUUACAACGGAGCACCGAUGCCGUAUCGCAAAACAAUUUAUUACGGCUUCGUAUAGCUAUACUCAAAACAAUUCUCGCUUGCCAUGCGCCAUUGCAAAAAUUAAA
Molecule: long non-coding RNA, 1936 nt
Organism: Ceratina calcarata
Lineage: Eukaryota; Metazoa; Arthropoda; Insecta; Hymenoptera; Apidae
Exons: 3
Source: RefSeq, a predicted model, not a curated record